Molecule: long non-coding RNA, 752 nt
Filed under: Schistocerca americana (American grasshopper)
Lineage: Eukaryota; Metazoa; Arthropoda; Insecta; Orthoptera; Acrididae
Description: uncharacterized LOC124587772, transcript variant X1
Source: RNAcentral
UGAGUGAGUGAGUGAGUGUUGGCCAACCAAGUGUGCAGUGCCGGAAUUUGUUGGUGGUAUGUCACAUGGAGCACUUAACUAAACAAACUUUGUUCUCGGCUAGAGUUUGAUGCAAGCUAUCGAACUGUUCACCAUUCCACCGCCUUACAGAACCACCCACUGUAACUGUUUUGAAGCCACAGUUGCUUGCACCAUUCUCCCAGAGGUGGACUUGGGGAUGUAUUUGGGGGAGGAGUGAAACAGUUGGUCAGAACUAGUCGUACAGCAAAAAUUUGAGGGAGCCAUCUGGAGGUGGCAUUGAGGCAGCAACAACAUACAUCACAACCUGUCUGUGGAAAUGGCAUGGCAAGCCGUUCCACAGGACUACAUCCAGCAUCUCUACGAUCGUCUCCAUGACGAUGAGGAAACAGGAGCUGAAGCUGUGGCUGGUGCCAGAGCUGAUGUCCACUUCCUGGUGUUUGUUUUAUGACUAUCCCAGAAUUUCAGCUAAGAAAUAAGGCAGAGGGCACUUCUCUGCACUUAGCGACAGUGCGAGGUCUUCCGUUGAUGACUACAGCGACAUCUUGAAGUGGUGCGAGAGCCCCGUGGAUAGCUGCAUAAUGAAGAGAAACGGACACAUGUGGACUUCCGCUGUCACUGCUAGCCACCAAGCGGUGUGUGGCGGGGGGCACUAUUCGCGCCGAAGCCAUAUCGCCCCCUCCGUUCCACUCGCGGAUCUCGUGAGGGGAUAAAAGACUGUCUGAAUGCCUCAG